Molecule: transfer RNA, 73 nt
Filed under: Bos taurus (domestic cattle)
Lineage: Eukaryota; Metazoa; Chordata; Mammalia; Artiodactyla; Bovidae
Also listed under: 2 other names
Rfam family: tRNA
About the family: Transfer RNA (tRNA) molecules are approximately 80 nucleotides in length. Their secondary structure includes four short double-helical elements and three loops (D, anti-codon, and T loops).
Source: Rfam by way of RNAcentral
UCCCUGGAAGUCCUGUGGUGAAGACUCUGUGCUUCCAAUGCAGGGGGCUCAGGUUCAAUUCCUGGUUGGGAAA